This 490-nucleotide ribosomal RNA is filed under the name Chacophrys pierottii (Chaco horned frog). RNAcentral describes it as "partial 12S ribosomal RNA". It matches the Rfam family "Bacterial small subunit ribosomal RNA", at positions 794 to 1522 of the family's 1533-position model. The record is from RNAcentral. Lineage: Eukaryota; Metazoa; Chordata; Amphibia; Anura; Ceratophryidae.
GCCCAGCCGUAAACUUUAACUUACUUCAACAUCGCCAGGGAACUACGAGCAAAGCUUAAAACCCAAAGGACUUGACGGUACCCCAUAUCCCCCUAGAGGAGCCUGUCCUAUAAUCGAUAACCCCCGUUUAACCUCACCAUUUCUAGUUAAUCAGCCUGUAUACCUCCGUCGUCAGCUUACCACGUGAGCGACAUUUAGUGAGCUUAAUGCCCAUACGCCAACACGUCAGGUCAAGGUGCAGCAAAUGAAAUGGGAAGAGAUGGGCUACACUCUCUAAUUUAGAAGACACGAAAGACUACCUAUGAAACCUAGUCAGAAGGCGGAUUUAGCAGUAAAAAGAAACUAGAGUGUUCUUUUUAACCUGGCACUGGGGUGUGUACACACCGCCCGUCACCCUCUUCAAAGCUACAAAAAAGUACUUAACUAAUAACAGCACCACAGAAGAGGCAAGUCGUAACAUGGUAAGUAUACCGGAAGGUGUGCUUGGAAA